UACGAACUGUGCGAACGUUAUUCGGAAUCACUGGGCUUACAGGGUGCGUAGGCGGCUUGUUAAGUAGGGUGUGAAAGCCCCCGGCUCAACCGGGGAAUUGCGCCCUAAACUGGCGAGCUGGAGUGAGAUAGGGGUGUGUGGAACUUCCGGUGGAGCGGUGAAAUGUGUUGAUAUCGGAAGGAACGCCGGUAGCGAAAGCGACACACUGGGUCUUUACUGACGCUGAGGCACGAAAGCCAGGGGAGCGAACGGG
This 253-nucleotide ribosomal RNA is filed under the name uncultured bacterium. RNAcentral describes it as "partial 16S ribosomal RNA". It matches the Rfam family "Bacterial small subunit ribosomal RNA", at positions 524 to 776 of the family's 1533-position model. The record is from RNAcentral.